GCGGCGGACGGGUGAGUAAUGCCUAGGAAUCUGCCUAGUAUUGGGGGAUAACUUGCCGAAAGGUAAGCUAAUACCGCAUACGUCCUACGGGAGAAAGCAGGGGACUCUUCGGAGCCUUGCGCUAUUAGAUGAGCCUAGGUCGGAUUAGUUAGUUGGUGAGGUAAUGGCUCACCAAGACUGCGAUCCGUAACUGGUCUGAGAGGAUGAUCAGUCACACUGGAACUGAGACACGGUCCAGACUCCUACGGGAGGCAGCAGUGGGGAAUAUUGGACAAUGGGGGCAACCCUGAUCCAGCCAUGCCGCGUGUGUGAAGAAGGUCUUAGGAUUGUAAAGCACUUUAAGUUGGGAGGAAGGGCAGUUAACUAAUACUUGACUGUUUUGACGUUACCGACAGAAUAAGCACCGGCUAACUUCGUGCCAGCAGCCGCGGUAAUACGAAGGGUGCAAGCGUUAAUCGGAAUUACUGGGCGUAAAGCGCGCGUAGGUGGUUCGUUAAGUUAGGAGUGAAAGCCCCGG
RNAcentral lists this ribosomal RNA (517 nucleotides) under uncultured bacterium. RNAcentral's name for it is "bacterial SSU rRNA". It matches the Rfam family "Bacterial small subunit ribosomal RNA", at positions 95 to 606 of the family's 1533-position model. The record is from RNAcentral.